RNAcentral lists this ribosomal RNA (427 nucleotides) under uncultured bacterium. RNAcentral describes it as "partial 16S ribosomal RNA". It matches the Rfam family "Bacterial small subunit ribosomal RNA", at positions 355 to 774 of the family's 1533-position model. The record is from RNAcentral.
UGGGGAAUAUUGGACAAUGGGCGAAAGCCUGAUCCAGCCAUGCCGCGUGUGUGAAGAAGGUCUUCGGAUUGUAAAGCACUUUAAGUUGGGAGGAAGGGCAGUAAAUUAAUACUUUGCUGUUUUGACGUUACCGACAGAAUAAGCACCGGCUAACUCUGUGCCAGCAGCCGCGGUAAUACAGAGGGUGCAAGCGUUAAUCGGAAUUACUGGGCGUAAAGCGCGCGUAGGUGGUUCGUUAAGUUGGAUGUGAAAGCCCCGGGCUCAACCUGGGAACUGCAUUCAAAACUGACGAGCUAGAGUAUGGUAGAGGGUGGUGGAAUUUCCUGUGUAGCGGUGAAAUGCGUAGAUAUAGGAAGGAACACCAGUGGCGAAGGCGACCACCUGGACUGAUACUGACACUGAGGUGCGAAAGCGUGGGGAGCAAACA